ACGUAGGGGGCAAGCGUUAUCCGGAUUUACUGGGUGUAAAGGGAGUGUAGGUGGCAUGGCAAGUCAGAAGUGAAAACCCGGGGCUCAACCCCGGGACUGCUUUUGAAACUGCCAGGCUAGAGUGCAGGAGAGGUAAGUGGAAUUCCUAGUGUAGCGGUGAAAUGCGUAGAUAUUAGGAGGAACACCAGUGGCGAAGGCGACUUACUGGACUGUAACUGACACUGAGGCUCGAAAGCGUGGGGAGCAAACAG
RNAcentral lists this ribosomal RNA (251 nucleotides) under uncultured prokaryote. Its description in RNAcentral is "partial 16S rRNA". It matches the Rfam family "Bacterial small subunit ribosomal RNA", at positions 525 to 775 of the family's 1533-position model. The record is from RNAcentral.